This is a long non-coding RNA of Musca domestica (house fly), 739 nucleotides long. RefSeq lists it as uncharacterized. The record is from RefSeq and is a predicted model, not a curated record. The transcript has 4 exons. Lineage: Eukaryota; Metazoa; Arthropoda; Insecta; Diptera; Muscidae.
AAACAAACAAACUGUCGUUGUGAGAAAUUUUUUUUGAAAAGAAUUACUUAAAUUUUGAAAUCAAAUCAUGUUAACCCAAAUUGUAGUCAAUAUUAAAGAAUUCAUACAUAACAUCUUUGUGGGAGAGGUUGGAAACUAUACCAACAUCUGUGAGCCUUGCCAAUGUGUCAAUUGUCGUGAUUGCAUUUUGGAUGCAAUAUUUUUUGUCGGAGUUAUUCUCACACCAAUAUAUGUUUGUAUCAUUCAUGAUAUUUUGAUCAAAUUUGGAAGCUAUAAUUAUAAAAUUGCUAAAUUUAAACGCUAAAUUGUGUGCUGCAUUGGAAAAUUAUGACAAUAAAAGGAUAUUAAGAAUGUGCUGCAACAUACAAUGGGAUUUUAAAAUAAAUUACAAGAAGGUUUUUUCCCCCUCCCCCUCAAUCUUUUGGACAUUUUGUGGGUUAGUUUGUCUUCCAUUUGCCAGUGGAGCCAAUUGGCGGCGACAAAGUGAUGACGCCAACAUUUCUUUACGUGCAGGUUUUGGUUGCAGCACCAGAAGAAAAAAAAUCCAAACGUCAUGGGAAUUAUGCAAAAUUCAACGAAAUAUUGCAUGCGUUCGAGGACAUCCAACAGCGAAAUGUUGGUCAUAUAUUAGAAACACAUUGCCAUAUUGGUUUGUUUUUGUAUCUGAUGGCGCCAAUAAAUUAACUCCAUGGAUAUGCAUUCUAUGGAAGCCAUGUUGAAAAUAAAUAAAUUCAAGUUG